This 923-nucleotide ribosomal RNA is filed under the name uncultured archaeon. RNAcentral's name for it is "bacterial SSU rRNA". It matches the Rfam family "Archaeal small subunit ribosomal RNA", at positions 1 to 925 of the family's 1478-position model. The record is from RNAcentral.
AUUUUCCGGUUGAUCCUGCCGGCGGCCACCGCUAUAGGAGUUCGAUUAAGACAUGCGAGUCGAGAGUCGUUAUGGACUCGGCGGACUGCUCAGUAACACGUGGACAACGUGCCCUUAAGUGGAGGAUAAUCUCGGGAAAUUGAGGAUAAUACUCCAUAGAUCAUGACACCUGGAAUGAGUCAUGGUUCAAAGUUCCGGCGCUUAAGGAUCGGUCUGCGGCCUAUCAGGUAGUAGUGGGUGUAAUGUACCUACUAGCCUAUGACGGGUAUGGGCCUUGAGAGAGGGAGCCCAGAGUUGGAUUCUGAGACACGAAUCCAGGCCCUACGGGGCGCAGCAGUCGCGAAAACUUCACAAUGGGCGCAAGCCCGAUGAGGGAACUCCUAGUGCUAGCACUUUUUGUGUUAGCUUUUCUUCAGCGUAGAUAACUGAAGGAAUAAGGGCUGGGUAAGACGGGUGCCAGCCGCCGCGGUAAUACCUGCAGCCCAAGUGGUGGUCGAUUUUAUUGAGUCUAAAACGUUCGUAGCCGGUCUGGUAAAUCCUUGGGUAAAUCGGAAAGCUUAACUUUCCGAAUUCCGAGGAGACUGCCAGACUUGGGACCGGGAGAGGCUAGAGGUACUUCUGGGGUAGGGGUAAAAUCCUGUAAUCCUAGAAGGACCACCGGUGGCGAAGGCGUCUAGCUAGAACGGAUCCGACGGUGAGGGACGAAGCCCUGGGUCGCAGACGGGAUUAGAUACCCCGGUAGUCCAGGGUGUAAACGCUGCAGACUUGGUGUUGGAGAUCCUUCGAGGGUAUUCAGUGCCGGAGAGAAGUUGUUAAGUCUGCUACUUGGGGAGUACGUCCGCAAGGAUGAAACUUAAAGGAAUUGGCGGGGGAGCACCGCAACGGGAGGAGCGUGCGGUUUAAUUGGAUUCAACGCCGGAAAU